Molecule: transfer RNA, 75 nt
Filed under: Caudoviricetes sp.
Lineage: Duplodnaviria; Heunggongvirae; Uroviricota; Caudoviricetes
Description: tRNA-Cys
Rfam family: tRNA
About the family: Transfer RNA (tRNA) molecules are approximately 80 nucleotides in length. Their secondary structure includes four short double-helical elements and three loops (D, anti-codon, and T loops).
Source: RNAcentral
GGCUGGAUGGGUGAGUGGUUAAGCCCGCGGUCUGCAAAACCGUUGUUACCGUCGGUUCGAAUCCGACUCCAGCCU